GACGUAGGGCGCGAGCGUUGUCCGGAUUUAUUGGGCGUAAAGAGCUCGUAGGCGGCUUGUCGCGUCGUCCGUGAAAACCUGGGGCUCAACCCCAGGCUUGCGGUCGAUACGGGCAGGCUAGAGUUCGGUAGGGGAGACUGGAAUUCCUGGUGUAGCGGUGAAAUGCGCAGAUAUCAGGAGGAACACCGGUGGCGAAGGCGGGUCUCUGGGCCUUACCUGACGCUGAGGAGCGAAAGCGUGGGGAGCGAACAGG
Molecule: ribosomal RNA, 253 nt
Filed under: uncultured bacterium
Lineage: Bacteria
Description: partial 16S ribosomal RNA
Rfam family: Bacterial small subunit ribosomal RNA
Source: RNAcentral